GGACCUAUAGCUCAAUCGGUAAGAGCAAUCUCCUUAUAAGGGAUAGGUUUCUGGUUCAAAUCCAGAUGGGUCCACCA
This 77-nucleotide transfer RNA is filed under the name Thermoproteota archaeon. Its description in RNAcentral is "Crenarchaeota archaeon (anaerobic digester metagenome) tRNA-Ile". It matches the Rfam family "tRNA". From Rfam's summary of the family: Transfer RNA (tRNA) molecules are approximately 80 nucleotides in length. Their secondary structure includes four short double-helical elements and three loops (D, anti-codon, and T loops). The record is from RNAcentral. Lineage: Archaea; Thermoproteati; Thermoproteota.